GAUGAACGCUAGCGAUAGGCCUAACACAUGCAAGUCGAGGGGCAUCACAUGAAGUAGCAAUACGGAUGGUGGCGACCGGCGCACGGGUGAGUAACACGUAUGCAACCUGCCUUCAACAAGGGGAUAACCCGUUGAAAGACGGACUAAUACCCUAUAACACAGGGGUCCCGCAUGGGAAUAUUUGUUAAAGGACAACCGGUUGAAGAUGGGCAUGCGUUCCAUUAGCUAGUUGGCGGGGUAACGGCCCACCAAGGCAACGAUGGAUAGGGGAACUGAGAGGUUUAUCCCCCACACUGGUACUGAGACACGGACCAGACUCCUACGGGAGGCAGCAGUGAGGAAUAUUGGUCAAUGGACGCAAGUCUGAACCAGCCACGUCGCGUGAAGGAAGACGGCCCUACGGGUUGUAAACUUCUUUUGUAAGGGAAUAAAGUGUAGUACGCGUACUAUUUUGCAUGUACCUUACGAAUAAGGAUCGGCUAACUCCGUG
Molecule: ribosomal RNA, 490 nt
Filed under: uncultured bacterium
Lineage: Bacteria
Description: bacterial SSU rRNA
Rfam family: Bacterial small subunit ribosomal RNA
Source: RNAcentral